Molecule: ribosomal RNA, 461 nt
Filed under: uncultured bacterium
Lineage: Bacteria
Description: bacterial SSU rRNA
Rfam family: Bacterial small subunit ribosomal RNA
Source: RNAcentral
GGGCCCGCACAAGCAGUGGAGUAUGUGGUUUAAUUCGAAGCAACGCGAAGAACCUUACCAGGGCUUGACAUCCCUUGAAGUCUGUAGAGAUAUGGACGUCCUUCGGGACAAGGAGACAGGUGGUGCAUGGUUGUCGUCAGCUCGUGUCGUGAGAUGUUGGGUUAAGUCCCGCAACGAGCGCAACCCCUGUUGUUAGUUGCCAUCAUUAAGUUGGGCACUCUAGCAAGACUGCCGGUGACAAAUCGGAGGAAGGUGGGGACGACGUCAAAUCAUCAUGCCCCUUAUGUCCUGGGCUACACACGUACUACAAUGGCUAUUACAGCAGGAAGCGAAAGGGUAACCUGGAGCGAAUCCUCAAAAAUAGUCCCAGUUCAGAUUGUGGGCUGAAACUCGCCCACAUGAAGUCGGAAUUGCUAGUAAUGGCAGGUCAGCAUACUGCCGUGAAUACGUUCCCGGGCCUU